GAUGAACGCUAGCGGCAGGCCUAACACAUGCAAGUCGAACGGUAACAUGAUCAGCUUGCUGAUUGAUGACGAGUGGCGCACGGGUGCGUAACGCGUAUGCAACCUGCCUCUAACUGGGAGAUAGCCCGGAGAAAUUCGGAUUAAUACCCCAUAAUAUGUGUCUUUCGCAUGUUAGACACAUUAAAGCUUUUGCGGUUAGAGAUGGGCAUGCGUGACAUUAGCUAGUUGGUAAGGUAACGGCUUACCAAGGCAACGAUGUCUAGGGGGUCUGAGAGGAUUAUCCCCCANACUGGUACUGAGACACGGACCAGACUCCUACGGGAGGCAGCAGUGAGGAAUAUUGGUCCAAUGGACGCAAGUCUGAACCAGCCAUGCCGCGUGCA
This 383-nucleotide ribosomal RNA is filed under the name uncultured bacterium. Its description in RNAcentral is "bacterial SSU rRNA". It matches the Rfam family "Bacterial small subunit ribosomal RNA", at positions 28 to 405 of the family's 1533-position model. The record is from RNAcentral.